UAGGGAAUCUUCCACAAUGGACGAAAGUCUGAUGGAGCAACGCCGCGUGAGUGAAGAAGGGUUUCGGCUCGUAAAACUCUGUUGUUAAAGAAGAACAUAUCUGAGAGUAACUGUUCAGGUAUUGACGGUAUUUAACCAGAAAGUCACGGCUAACUACGUGCAAG
This 164-nucleotide ribosomal RNA is filed under the name uncultured bacterium. Its description in RNAcentral is "partial 16S ribosomal RNA". It matches the Rfam family "Bacterial small subunit ribosomal RNA", at positions 355 to 511 of the family's 1533-position model. The record is from RNAcentral.